AGCGAACGCUGGCGGCAGGCCUAACACAUGCAAGUCGAACGAACCUUUCGUGGUUACUUGCUGACGGGUGAGUAACACGUCGGAACGUGCCUUUAUGCUCCGAAUAACUCAGGGAAACUUGUGCUAAUACCGAAUGUGCCCUUCUAGGGCAAGAUUAAUCGCCUCUAGAGCGGCCCGCGUCUGAUUAGCUAGUUGGUUUUGGUAAUGCCUCACCCAGGCGACGUUCAGUAGCUGGUAUGAGAGGAUGAGCAGCCACAUUGGGAGGGAGACACGGUCCAAAAUCCUACGCGAUGCAGCAGAGCCGAAUCUUGCGAAACCGGCGAAAGGCUGACGGAGCCAGGCUGGGUGAAUGCUGUAGGUCGGAGGAAUGUAAAAUUCUUUCAUCGGGGACGAUAAUGACGGUACCCGGAGAAGAAGCACCGGCUAACUUCGUG
This 434-nucleotide ribosomal RNA is filed under the name uncultured bacterium. RNAcentral's name for it is "partial 16S ribosomal RNA". It matches the Rfam family "Bacterial small subunit ribosomal RNA", at positions 29 to 507 of the family's 1533-position model. The record is from RNAcentral.